Homarus americanus (American lobster) is the source of this 279-nucleotide long non-coding RNA. RefSeq lists it as uncharacterized. The transcript is spliced from 2 exons. The record is from RefSeq and is a predicted model, not a curated record. NCBI's taxonomy places the organism in Eukaryota, Metazoa, Arthropoda, Malacostraca, Decapoda, Nephropidae.
GAGAGGAUGGGUGAAGCUCCUAGGCGUUUAUCGUGACUGAGGACAAUUCACCAGGAGGAUAUACACAGCUUCCUGAAGCCUCGAGUCGCUCGCCAUAAGCAGCUGGCGGAUCUUCUUCGUUGAAGCUUUACCGAAAAACGCCACUGGGAAGCUUCGCCGGGAGCUGAAAAGAUGGGUGGCAGUUGAAGCCCAUGAUACUAUGUUCUAUAGAAACCGACCCUUUAGUGAAGCCCUGGUACAUAUAUUUUCUAGAGUCUAGUUCUUAAAUGUAGCCUUGAA